This 77-nucleotide transfer RNA is filed under the name bacterium. RNAcentral's name for it is "tRNA-Gln". It matches the Rfam family "tRNA". From Rfam's summary of the family: Transfer RNA (tRNA) molecules are approximately 80 nucleotides in length. Their secondary structure includes four short double-helical elements and three loops (D, anti-codon, and T loops). Further hydrogen bonds mediate the characteristic L-shaped molecular structure. tRNAs have two regions of fundamental functional importance: the anti-codon, which is responsible for specific mRNA codon recognition, and the 3' end, to which the tRNAs corresponding amino acid is attached (by aminoacyl-tRNA synthetases). tRNAs cope with the degeneracy of the genetic code in two manners: having more than one tRNA (with a specific anti-codon) for a particular amino acid; and 'wobble' base-pairing, i.e. permitting non-standard base-pairing at the 3rd anti-codon position. The record is from RNAcentral.
UGGGGUGUCGCCAAGUGGCCUAAGGCGCCUGGUUUUGGUCCAGGUAUUCGAGGGUUCGAAUCCUUCCACCCCAACCA